This 470-nucleotide ribosomal RNA is filed under the name uncultured Roseateles sp. RNAcentral's name for it is "bacterial SSU rRNA". It matches the Rfam family "Bacterial small subunit ribosomal RNA", at positions 28 to 499 of the family's 1533-position model. The record is from RNAcentral. Lineage: Bacteria; Pseudomonadati; Pseudomonadota; Betaproteobacteria; Burkholderiales; Sphaerotilaceae.
GACGAACGCUGGCGGCGUGCCUAACACAUGCAAGUCGAACGGUAACAGGUUAAGCUGACGAGUGGCGAACGGGUGAGUAAUAUAUCGGAACGUGCCCAGUUGUGGGGGAUAACUGCUCGAAAGAGCAGCUAAUACCGCAUACGACCUGAGGGUGAAAGCGGGGGAUCGCAAGACCUCGCGCAAUUGGAGCGGCCGAUAUCAGAUUAGCUAGUUGGCGGGGUAAAAGCCCACCAAGGCGACGAUCUGUAGCUGGUCUGAGAGGACGACCAGCCACACUGGGACUGAGACACGGCCCAGACUCCUACGGGAGGCAGCAGUGGGGAAUUUUGGACAAUGCCCGCAAGGGUGAUCCAGCCAUGCCGCGUGCAGGAAGACGGCCCUAUGGGUUGUAAACUGCUUUUGUCAGGGAAGAAACGGCCUGGGUUAAUACCUUGGGCUAGUGACGGUACCUGAAGAAUAAGCACCGGCUA